UGGGGAAUAUUGGACAAUGGGCGCAAGCCUGAUCCAGCCAUGCCGCGUGAGUGACGAAGGCCUUAGGGUUGUAAAGCUCUUUUGGCGGGGACGAUAAUGACGGUACCCGCAGAAUAAGCCCCGGCUAGCUUCGUGCCAGCAGCCGCGGUAAUACGAAGGGGGCUAGCGUUGUUCGGAAUUACUGGGCGUAAAGCGCACGUAGGCGGAUGUGCCAGUCAGGGGUGAAAUCCCGAGGCUCAACCUCGGAACUGCCUCCGAUACAGCACGUCUCGAGUCCGGAAGAGGUGAGUGGAAUUCCUAGUGUAGAGGUGAAAUUCGUAGAUAUUAGGAAGAACACCAGUGGCGAAGGCGGCUCACUGGUCCGGUACUGACGCUGAGGUGCGAAAGCGUGGGGAGCAAACAGGAUUAGAUACCCCAGUAGUCCCUGAGCGGGCUGGCAAGGCGCAU
Molecule: ribosomal RNA, 447 nt
Filed under: uncultured bacterium
Lineage: Bacteria
Description: bacterial SSU rRNA
Rfam family: Bacterial small subunit ribosomal RNA
Source: RNAcentral